AUGAUAAGAAAGUUCAAGAAUAGGUGCGAUUUACUUGAAAAAGAGUACAAUAGUUGGAAGACGUUAAACCAAAAGGCAUCUGGCAUCGGAAUAGAUCCUGUUACUAAGAGCAUUGCGGCUACCGAUGAAUGGUGGGCAAAUGAGAUACAGAGAAAUGAGAUUGCGGCCAAGUUUCGAUAUGCUCCAUUAGUGGAUGAGCAAAGAAUGAGUUUAAUAUUUGAUGACCACAGUGUGACAAAUGCGUGUGCGAGGGUUGCAAUUCCCUUGUCUCAAGUUGAUGCCUCUCAAAUUAACAUUGAAGAGGAUAAUGAGGACUACUCAGGAUGUGAGUUAGAUGUUACCCAAGUUGCACCCAACAAAGUUUCAUCUAAAGGUCGAAAGAAGAGAUCAUGUCCUUUUUCACCUAGUCCCAAGAUGGUCCAAAAGCAGCAAAAGAUAGUGAUGAUAAAUUAG
Molecule: ribosomal RNA, 453 nt
Filed under: Triticum aestivum (bread wheat)
Lineage: Eukaryota; Viridiplantae; Streptophyta; Magnoliopsida; Poales; Poaceae
Description: partial small subunit ribosomal RNA
Source: RNAcentral